GACGAACCGUGCGAACGUUAUUCGGAAUCACUGGGCUUAAAGCGCGUGUAGGCGGGAAGGCACGUCCGUCGCUGAAAUCCCCCGGCUCAACCGGGGAACUGGCGUGGAUACGACCUUCCUGGAGGGGCGUAGGGGGACCUGGAACUUCCGGUGGAGCGGUGAAAUGCGUUGAGAUCGGAAGGAACGCCCGUGGCGAAAGCGAGGUCCUGGACGCCUACUGACGCUGAGACGCGAAAGCCAGGGGAGCGAACGGG
RNAcentral lists this ribosomal RNA (254 nucleotides) under uncultured bacterium. RNAcentral describes it as "partial 16S ribosomal RNA". It matches the Rfam family "Bacterial small subunit ribosomal RNA", at positions 524 to 776 of the family's 1533-position model. The record is from RNAcentral.